GAUCAUGGCUCAGGAUGAACGCUGGCGGCGUGCUUAACACAUGCAAGUCGAACGAAGCACUUUAAUUGAUUUCUUCGGAAUGAAGUUUUUGUGACUGAGUGGCGGACGGGUGAGUAACGCGUGGGUAACCUGCCUCAUACAGGGGGAUAACAGUUAGAAAUGACUGCUAAUACCGCAUAAGCGCACAGGGUCGCAUGACCUGGUGUGAAAAACUCCGGUGGUAUGAGAUGGACCCGCG
Molecule: ribosomal RNA, 238 nt
Filed under: uncultured bacterium
Lineage: Bacteria
Description: partial 16S ribosomal RNA
Rfam family: Bacterial small subunit ribosomal RNA
Source: RNAcentral